GAUGAACGCUGGCGGCGUGCCUAAUACAUGCAAGUCGAGCGAACAGACGAGGAGCUUGCUCCUCUGAUGUUAGCGGCGGACGGGUGAGUAACACGUGGAUAACCUACCUAUAAGACUGGGAUAACUUCGGGAAACCGGAGCUAAUACCGGAUAACAUGUUGAACCGCAUGGUUCAACAGUGAAAGACGGUUUUGCUGUCACUUAUAGAUGGAUCCGCGCCGCAUUAGCUAGUUGGUAAGGUAACGGCUUACCAAGGCAACGAUGCGUAGCCGACCUGAGAGGUUGAUCGGCCACACUGGAACUGAGACACGGUCCAGACUCCUACGGGAGGCAGCAGUAGGGAAUCUUCCGCAAUGGGCGAAAGCCUGACGGAGCAACGCCGCGUGAGUGAAGAAGGUCUUCGGAUCGUAAAACUCUGUUAUUAGGGAAGAACAAAUGUGUAAGUAACUAUGCACGUCUUGACGGUACCUAAUCAGAAAGCCACGGCUAACUACGUG
Molecule: ribosomal RNA, 497 nt
Filed under: uncultured bacterium
Lineage: Bacteria
Description: partial 16S ribosomal RNA
Rfam family: Bacterial small subunit ribosomal RNA
Source: RNAcentral